RNAcentral lists this ribosomal RNA (275 nucleotides) under Lachnospira eligens. RNAcentral describes it as "partial 16S ribosomal RNA". It matches the Rfam family "Bacterial small subunit ribosomal RNA", at positions 502 to 776 of the family's 1533-position model. The record is from RNAcentral. Lineage: Bacteria; Bacillati; Bacillota; Clostridia; Lachnospirales; Lachnospiraceae.
UAUGGUAAAGCAGCCGCGGUAAUACGUAUGGAGCAAGCGUUAUCCGGAUUUACUGGGUGUAAAGGGAGUGUAGGUGGCCAUGCAAGUCAGAAGUGAAAAUCCGGGGCUCAACCCCGGAACUGCUUUUGAAACUGUGAGGCUAGAGUGCAGGAGGGGUGAGUGGAAUUCCUAGUGUAGCGGUGAAAUGCGUAGAUAUUAGGAGGAACACCAGUGGCGAAGGCGGCUCACUGGACUGUAACUGACACUGAGGCUCGAAAGCGUGGGGAGCAAACAGG